RNAcentral lists this ribosomal RNA (468 nucleotides) under uncultured bacterium. RNAcentral's name for it is "partial 16S ribosomal RNA". It matches the Rfam family "Bacterial small subunit ribosomal RNA", at positions 28 to 507 of the family's 1533-position model. The record is from RNAcentral.
GACGAACGCUGGCGGCGUGCUUAACACAUGCAAGUCGAACGGAAAGGCCCUGCUUUUGUGGGGUGCUCGAGUGGCGAACGGGUGAGUAACACGUGAGUAUCCUGCCCUUGACUUUGGGAUAACUUCAGGAAACUGGGGCUAAUACCGGAUAGGAGCUCCUGCUGCAUGGUGGGGGUUGGAAAGUUUCGGCGGUUGGGGAUGGACUCGCGGCUUAUCAGCUUGUUGGUGGGGUAGUGGCUUACCAAGGCUUUGACGGGUAGCCGGCCUGAGAGGGUGACCGGCCACAGUGGGACUGAGAUGCGGCCCAGACUGCUACGGGAGGCAGCAGUGGGGAAUAGUGCACGAUGGGCGGAAGCCUGAUGCAGCAACGCCGCGUGCGGGAUGACGGCCUUCGGGUUGUAAACCGCUUUCGCCUGUGACGAAGCGUGAGUGACGGUAAUGGGUAAAGAAGCACCGGCUAACUACGUG